Pomacea canaliculata is the source of this 405-nucleotide long non-coding RNA. RefSeq lists it as uncharacterized. Lineage: Eukaryota; Metazoa; Mollusca; Gastropoda; Architaenioglossa; Ampullariidae. The transcript is spliced from 3 exons. The record is from RefSeq and is a predicted model, not a curated record.
AUUUCUCCUUUUUUUUUUUAGAUAAUCGGUGUGAAAGUUAGAUUUAAAAUACACUCUCCCUAGAAAGAAACAAGAAUCAGGGAAUGUCCACGUGAUCAAAAUCGCGAAACGCUAGAGCAUACGAAGUUCAUAGUUUUUGAGGUCAUGAGUAGACUGAACCAUUCUUCCGGCCAUGAGAUCCAACUCCAGGAACCAAAUGGCAGGCACGGCGGUUCCAAGGUACAGAAGAACACUGGGGCAUACCCUAAUGACAUAGAAAUCAUCUAUUGCAGUAAGUCUAAAGUGAAGACUGUUUCGAUCACCAUAACUGGAAAAGUCCCGGUCAGGCACCAGUACAGAGGCUGACCUUUGACCACGGUCACGCGCCAGAUACAAAUGAAGCCGUGAAGAGCGAAAAGAACCCGG